AGAUCGAACUGUAGAGUUUGAUCCUGGCUCAGAUUGAACGCUGGCGGCAUGCCUUACACAUGCAAGUCGAACGGCAGCACGGACUUCGGUCUGGUGGCGAGUGGCGAACGGGUGAGUAAUACAUCGGAACGUGCCUAGUAGUGGGGGAUAACUACUCGAAAGAGUGGCUAAUACCGCAUGAGAUCUACGGAUGAAAGCAGGGGAUCGCAAGACCUUGUGCUACUAGAGCGGCCGAUGGCAGAUUAGGUAGUUGGUGGGAUAAAAGCUUACCAAGCCAACGAUCUGUAGCUGGUCUGAGAGGACGAUCAGCCACACUGGGACUGAGACACGGCCCAGACUCCUACGGGAGGCAGCAGUGGGGAAUUUUGGACAAUGGGCGAAAGCCUGAUCCAGCAAUGCCGCGUGCAGGAUGAAGGCCUUCGGGUUGUAAACUGCUUUUGUACGGAACGAAAAGCUUCGGGUUAAUACCCUGGAGUCAUGACGGUACCGUAAGAAUAAGCACCGGCUAACUACGUGCCAGCAGCCGCGGUAAUACGUAGGGUGCAAGCGUUAAUCGGAAUUACUGGGCGUAAAGCGUGCGCAGGCGG
This 587-nucleotide ribosomal RNA is filed under the name Acidovorax sp. 12322-1. RNAcentral describes it as "bacterial SSU rRNA". It matches the Rfam family "Bacterial small subunit ribosomal RNA", at positions 1 to 578 of the family's 1533-position model. Lineage: Bacteria; Pseudomonadati; Pseudomonadota; Betaproteobacteria; Burkholderiales; Comamonadaceae. The record is from RNAcentral.